GAAAAGUGAAACACAGCGAGGCAUGGACGAGCCAGCUGUGAUACCCACGUCUUGUGUCUCUGGCCUAUGCUGGUUCCACAGUCAGACAUCUGGCCGUCCUGCCAGAAGGAUGAAGGAGACAGGGCCACAGCACCACCAAGCAUCUGGUUCCAGGGACUUUGACAACCAGCAGGCGUGGUGCUAAGUGCAAUUCAUCAUUAAGUCUCCCUGAAGAUGCUCCCAGGAGCUCCCACCCUAGCUGAUUUUCUUCACCCUUGGUUAGCACCUGUGACAGACAAUACAACAUGAAUGAAUAGAGGCAUCACAUUGCUAAUAUUUGUAAAGGAUUUCAGUCUACAGCGGAAAGGAGGGUAUGAAAUGGAGAACCUCAUUCAAGAGCCUCAGAAGGAUGGAACCUAAAUACUGAGAGCCUGACUUCCUGGAAAUGCUAAUUUACAGAAGACAGAGCCUUCCGUCCUGACCAGCGAACAUCUGCCAACAAUCUCUCCCCAUCCUCAAGCCCAUGACCUUGCUUUUUGAACUCUGGCUUUUACUCCUUGCCCAUAAAUACCCCAAACCCUCAACAGACUCCCUGGAGCUUGCAAUAGCAUGCAUUUUCCAAACUGCAAUUCCUCACCUAUUUCUACGUAAACUAGAUUUCUGGAAAUUCAAGCUUGCCUCAGUUUACCAUUUUAUUUAGGUUGACACUAAUAAUGUAACUUUGGUCAGUUACAUUCUGACCAAACUCUAGGCUACAAUUACCUAAUUUAUAA
Long non-coding RNA from Suricata suricatta (meerkat), 752 nucleotides. RefSeq lists it as uncharacterized. The record is from RefSeq and is a predicted model, not a curated record. The transcript is spliced from 3 exons. NCBI's taxonomy places the organism in Eukaryota, Metazoa, Chordata, Mammalia, Carnivora, Herpestidae.